RNAcentral lists this non-coding RNA (109 nucleotides) under Pontibacillus chungwhensis. RNAcentral's name for it is "SAM-I sequence". It matches the Rfam family "SAM riboswitch aptamer (S box leader)". From Rfam's summary of the family: The SAM riboswitch is found upstream of a number of genes which code for proteins involved in methionine or cysteine biosynthesis in Gram-positive bacteria. The SAM riboswitch acts at the level of transcription termination control. The record is from RNAcentral. Lineage: Bacteria; Bacillati; Bacillota; Bacilli; Caryophanales; Bacillaceae. RNAcentral also lists the same sequence under 1 other name.
UUCUUAUCCAGAGAGGUGGAGGGACUGGCCCUUUGAAACCUCGGCAACGGAUUCUAUUAAGUUAGAACACCGUGCCAAUUCCUUCAAGCUUCGGCUUGAAAGAUGAGAA